UCGCUUUGGCAGCACAUACACCAACAUUGGAACGAUACAGAGAAGAUUAGCAUGGCCCCUGAGCA
Molecule: small nuclear RNA, 65 nt
Filed under: Zalophus californianus (California sea lion)
Lineage: Eukaryota; Metazoa; Chordata; Mammalia; Carnivora; Otariidae
Source: RNAcentral